This 84-nucleotide transfer RNA is filed under the name Babesia sp. Lintan. RNAcentral's name for it is "tRNA-Ile". Lineage: Eukaryota; Apicomplexa; Aconoidasida; Piroplasmida; Babesiidae. The record is from RNAcentral.
AAAAGUAUAGUUUAAUAAUAAAACAAUUUUUACUUAUUUUAAAUAAGUUUAAAUAUAUAAUAGUGAAAUUCUAUUUACUUUUUU